AAGUCGUAACAAGGUAUCCGUAGGUGAACCUGCGGAUGGAUCAUUUUUGGAGUGUGUUUUUAUAAGUGAUGGGAAUGGUAUUGGAGGAGUGAUGGUGGUAUGACAUUGAUGAUUUAGAAAGGAUGAAAACAAAACAACUUUUAGCAAUGGAUCUCUUGGCUCUC
This 164-nucleotide unclassified non-coding RNA is filed under the name fungal sp. RNAcentral describes it as "partial internal transcribed spacer region". The stretch from base 1 to 46 matches the Rfam family "Eukaryotic small subunit ribosomal RNA", at positions 1786 to 1831 of the family's 1831-position model. Lineage: Eukaryota; Fungi. The record is from RNAcentral.